UGGGGAAUAUUGGACAAUGGGCGAAAGCCUGAUCCAGCCAUGCCGCGUGUGUGAAGAAGGUCUUCGGAUUGUAAAGCACUUUAAGUUGGGAGGAAGGGUUGUAGAUUAAUACUCUGCAAUUUUGACGUUACCGACAGAAUAAGCACCGGCUAACUCUGUGCCAGCAGCCGCGGUAAUACAGAGGGUGCAAGCGUUAAUCGGAAUUACUGGGCGUAAAGCGCGCGUAGGUGGUUUGUUAAGUUGGAUGUGAAAUCCCCGGGCUCAACCUGGGAACUGCAUCCAAAACUGGCAAGCUAGAGUAUGGUAGAGGGUGGUGGAAUUUCCUGUGUAGCGGUGAAAUGCGUAGAUAUAGGAAGGAACACCAGUGGCGAAGGCGACCACCUGGACUGAUACUGACACUGAGGUGCGAAAGCGUGGGGAGCAAACAGGAUUAGAUACCCCCGUAGUCCCUGAGCGGGCUGGCAAGGCGCAU
This 472-nucleotide ribosomal RNA is filed under the name uncultured bacterium. RNAcentral's name for it is "bacterial SSU rRNA". It matches the Rfam family "Bacterial small subunit ribosomal RNA", at positions 355 to 825 of the family's 1533-position model. The record is from RNAcentral.